GACGAACGCUGGCGGCGUGCUUAACACAUGCAAGUCGAACGGUGAAGCACCUUCCUUUUGGUGGGUGUGGAUGAGUGGCGAACGGGUGAGUAACACGUGAGUAACCUGCCCCCUUCUUCUGGAUAACCGCAUGAAAGUGUGGCUAAUACGGGAUAUUCUGGGUCUGUCGCAUGGCGGGCCUGGGAACGAUAUUGUUUCGGUGGGGGAUGGGCUCGCGGUCUAUCAGCUUGUUGGUGGGGUGAUGGCCUACCAAGGCGGUGACGGGUAGCCGGCCUGAGAGGGUGGCCGGUCGGGAGGGGAGAGAGACACGGGCCGAAUACGGGAGGGAGGCGGAGGGGGGGUAUAGUGAACGGUGGGGGCAUGACGGAGCCACGGCGCCCGGGGGAGGAAGGGAGGCCUUGGGGUUAAAACCCUUUUUCGGCAGGAAAGCAGGCCUGUCCCUUUGGGGGGGGGGUGAAGGGUACUGGGAAAAAAGCCCCGGCUAAAUACGGG
RNAcentral lists this ribosomal RNA (492 nucleotides) under uncultured bacterium. Its description in RNAcentral is "partial 16S ribosomal RNA". It matches the Rfam family "Bacterial small subunit ribosomal RNA", at positions 28 to 507 of the family's 1533-position model. The record is from RNAcentral.